GACGAACGCUGGCGGCGUGCCUAAUACAUGCAAGUAGAACGCUGAAGAGAGGAGCUUGCUCUUCUUGGAUGAGUUGCGAACGGGUGAGUAACGCGUAGGUAACCUGCCUUGUAGCGGGGGAUAACUAUUGGAAACGAUAGCUAAUACCGCAUAACAAUGGAUGACACAUGUCAUUUAUUUGAAAGGGGCAAAUGCUCCACUACAAGAUGGACCUGCGUUGUAUUAGCUAGUAGGUGAGGUAACGGCUCACCUAGGCGACGAUACAUAGCCGACCUGAGAGGGUGAUCGGCCACACUGGGACUGAGACACGGCCCAGACUCCUACGGGAGGCAGCAGUAGGGAAUCUUCGGCAAUGGGGGCAACCCUGACCGAGCAACGCCGCGUGAGUGAAGAAGGUUUUCGGAUCGUAAAGCUCUGUUGUAAGUCAAGAACGAGUGUGAGAGUGGAAAGUUCACACUGUGACGGUAGCUUACCAGAAAGGGACGGCUAACUACGUGCCAGCAGCCGCGGUAAUACGUAGGUCCCGAGCGUUGUCCGGAUUUAUUGGGCGUAAAGCGAGCGCAGGCGGUUUGAUAAGUCUGAAGUUAAAGGCUGUGGCUCAACCAUAGUUCGCUUUGGAAACUGUCAAACUUGAGUGCAGAAGGGGAGAGUGGAAUUCCAUGUGUAGCGGUGAAAUGCGUAGAUAUAUGGAGGAACACCGGUGGCGAAAGCGGCUCUCUGGUCUGUAACUGACGCUGAGGCUCGAAAGCGUGGGGAGCGAACAGGAUUAGAUACCCUGGUAGUCCACGCCGUAAACGAUGAGUGCUAGGUGUUGGAUCCUUUCCGGGAUUCAGUGCCGCAGCUAACGCAUUAAGCACUCCGCCUGGGGAGUACGACCGCAAGGUUGAAACUCAAAGGAAUUGACGGGGGCCCGCACAAGCGGUGGAGCAUGUGGUUUAAUUCGAAGCAACGCGAAGAACCUUACCAGGUCUUGACAUCCCGAUGCUAUUUCUGGAGAUAGAAAGUUACUUCGGUACAUCGGUGACAGGUGGUGCAUGGUUGUCGUCAGCUCGUGUCGUGAGAUGUUGGGUUAAGUCCCGCAACGAGCGCAACCCCUAUUGUUAGUUGCCAUCAUUCAGUUGGGCACUCUAGCGAGACUGCCGGUAAUAAACCGGAGGAAGGUGGGGAUGACGUCAAAUCAUCAUGCCCCUUAUGACCUGGGCUACACACGUGCUACAAUGGUUGGUACAACGAGUUGCGAGUCGGUGACGGCAAGCUAAUCUCUUAAAGCCAAUCUCAGUUCGGAUUGUAGGCUGCAACUCGCCUACAUGAAGUCGGAAUCGCUAGUAAUCGCGGAUCAGCACGCCGCGGUGAAUACGUUCCCGGGCCU
Molecule: ribosomal RNA, 1369 nt
Filed under: uncultured bacterium
Lineage: Bacteria
Description: bacterial SSU rRNA
Rfam family: Bacterial small subunit ribosomal RNA
Source: RNAcentral